UUUUCAACUGCUCAUCCAAUGCUCUCUCUCCUCCUCCACCUACCAUAAUUACUUCUCCUAACCUAACCUCUGCAAAUCAUUAACGCCAUCAUUGAGGAAGCUUCAAUGUUGAAGUUUGGAGAAGAAAGCUGGGUGUGAAGAGGUAUUUAGUUUGCAAAAUAAGCUAAGGGAGUAUGGGUCCAAAUAACAAGCAACCCAAGUCAAAGAUUACACAAGAAAAGAAAAGGAAGAGAAAAAAAAAAGAGUAAACUCACCUCAUCUUCGCAGUUUCACGAGCAAAACCAAAGAAAGGGGAAUACUUUCUUUUCCAAGUCAACCCAAUUCAGAACAAGAAUCUCCAAUAUACAAAGGCAAACGUAAUAAGGGAAUUAUGGAGCAAAUUAAAUUAGAGAUCGUAUCUUUUUCUCUAUAACUAAUUUCGAAAAAUUUGAUAAUUGGGGUUUUUGUUCAAUUGGGUAUAAAAAUCCCUUAAUUUCUACAAGAGAGGGGGGCGGCAAAAGGAUAGUUUUCGCACAAUACACGCAAUAGAUAUUAGGUUUUAGUUUUUACAUUCUACUGGUUGAUUGGCCCAAUUGUUAUUGGAGCCGACGACGUUUCAGAUUCUUGUUUCUAGUUUAAUUUGAAGGCCCCUGGUAUUUUUCGUUCCUUGCUUUUAACUGACUUUAGGCUCCGUUUGGUAGGGCGUAAAAUAUUUUCAGUGUAAAAUGAUUUUCAUGGAAAACGAUUUACAAUGGAAACACAAUUCCAAAAUUAGUUUUCUGUUGUUUGGUUACAUGUAAGAAAAAUGAUGAAAUGAAAGGAAAAUGAGAGGGAAAGUAAGGAGGUAGUGAGAGGAGUGUAUAAGAGAGAUAAGGAAAAUAAUUUUCCAUUCAUUUUGAAAGGAAAAUGGUUUUCCAUCAUUGGGAGAGUAAUUUUACCCCAAAGGAAAAUGGUUUUACACUCUUUUGCCAACCAAACAAUGUAAAACUAAAAAUAGAGGAAAAUAGUUUUUCGGGAAUACGUUUUACGCCCUACCAAACGGAGCCUUAAUCUAGUUUUGCUUUAUCAUCUUCUAAAGUUCUACUCAAUCUAUUUUGUUGUUCUUAAUUGUUUGUAAAAGCUUUGUGUACUUUGGCAGCAUCAACGUCAAAUUCGAUCUUGCUUUGUUGCCUAUUUAUUUGCUGCAUCAUUUAGAGGAUCGCGUUUCAAAUUGAAUGGACAAAGGCUUAAACAAUAUCUUGAGUUGCCAGAAGAGAACACGGAAGAAAAUGUAGAGUGUUUGCUAUUCUACGAACCUGAAUAUGAUGACUAAUGGAGUCUAUGCAAGCUGCUUGGAUUUUGCGAAAUAAGGGAGUACGGGCCCAAUAACAAGCAACCCAAGUCUAAGAUUACACAAGAAAAGAAAAGGAAGCCCAAUGCUUCCACAACCACAAUAACAACACAACAAGCAAACAAAAGGUAGAGAAAAAAAAGGAGUAAACUCACCUCAUCUUCGCAAUUUCACGAGCAAAACCAAAGAAAGAGGAAUACUUUCUUUUCCAAGUCAACCCAAUUCAGAGCAAUAAUCUCCAAUAUACGAAGGCAAACAUAAUAAGGGAAUUAUGGAGAAAAUUAGAGAUCGUAUCUUUUUCUCUAUAACUAAUUUCGAAAAAUUUAAUAAUUGGGGUUUUUGUUCAAUUGGGUAUAAAAAUCCCUUAAUUUCUACAAGAGAAGGGGGCGGACAAAAGGAUAGUUUUCGCACAAUACAGACAAUAGAUAUUAGGUUUUAGUUUUUACAUUCUACUGGUUGAUUGGCCAAAUUGUUAUUGGAGCCAACGAUGUUUCAGAUUCUUGUUUCUACUUUAAUUUGAAGACCCCUGGUAUUUUCGUUCCUUGCUUUUGAUUGACUUUAAUCUAGUUUUGCUUUAAUACUCAAUCUAUUUUGUUGUUCUUAAUUGUUGGUAAAGCUUUGUGGACUUUGGAAGCAUCAACUUCAAAUUCGAUCUUGCUUUGUUGCCGAUUUA
Molecule: long non-coding RNA, 1982 nt
Organism: Beta vulgaris subsp. vulgaris (sugar beet)
Lineage: Eukaryota; Viridiplantae; Streptophyta; Magnoliopsida; Caryophyllales; Amaranthaceae
Exons: 4
Source: RefSeq, a predicted model, not a curated record